RNAcentral lists this long non-coding RNA (276 nucleotides) under Lathyrus oleraceus (garden pea). RNAcentral describes it as "Pisum sativum (pea) long non-coding RNA (PSAT_LNC001188)". The record is from RNAcentral. Lineage: Eukaryota; Viridiplantae; Streptophyta; Magnoliopsida; Fabales; Fabaceae.
AAACUUCAUUAAUAAUAAAAUACAAAAUACAAAAGAAGAAAAAUAAAAUAAAAUAAAAUAAGGGAAAGGAGAAUCUAGGAGACAUAGGGUCCUACACAAGAGGUGUCUUCAGCUACUUUGAGCUUCAGACUCCAAUGGGUCUCCAGAACCUCAUUUAACCCAACAUCAUGCACUUUCUUCACUAUUCCUUCUUGAUGGAAGAGUUCAUAAAUAACUCAUCCAAAAGGAAUAAGUAAAGACAUUCCUUCAUGAGAGGCAAUUAUCUUUGACUUCAUA